Molecule: transfer RNA, 74 nt
Filed under: Bacillus phage vB_BcoS-136
Lineage: Duplodnaviria; Heunggongvirae; Uroviricota; Caudoviricetes
Description: tRNA-Trp
Rfam family: tRNA
About the family: Transfer RNA (tRNA) molecules are approximately 80 nucleotides in length.
Source: RNAcentral
AGGGGCAUAGUGUAAUGGUAGCACCCUAGUCUCCAAAACUAGUAGUUUAGGUUCGAAUCCUAAUGUCCCUGCCA